GACGGGGACCCGCACAAGCGGUGGAGCAUGUGGUUUAAUUCGAAGCAACGCGAAGAACCUUACCAAAUCUUGACAUCCUUUGACUCUUCUAGAGAUAGAAGUUUCCCCUUCGGGGGACAAAGUGACAGGUGGUGCAUGGUUGUCGUCAGCUCGUGUCGUGAGAUGUUGGGUUAAGUCCCGCAACGAGCGCAACCCUUAAGCUUAGUUGCCAUCAUUAAGUUGGGCACUCUAAGUUGACUGCCGGUGACAAACCGGAGGAAGGUGGGGAUGACGUCAAAUCAUCAUGCCCCUUAUGAUUUGGGCUACACACGUGCUACAAUGGACAAUACAAAGGGCAACGAAACCGCGAGGUCAAGCAAAUCCCAUAAAGUUGUUGUCAGUUCGGAUUGUAGUCUGCAACUCGACUACAUGAAGCUGGAAUCGCUAGUGAUCGUAGAUCAGCAUGCUACGGUGAAUACGUUCC
This 463-nucleotide ribosomal RNA is filed under the name Clostridioides difficile. Its description in RNAcentral is "bacterial SSU rRNA". It matches the Rfam family "Bacterial small subunit ribosomal RNA", at positions 912 to 1374 of the family's 1533-position model. Lineage: Bacteria; Bacillati; Bacillota; Clostridia; Peptostreptococcales; Peptostreptococcaceae. The record is from RNAcentral.